UUACGGGAGGCAGCAGUGGGGAAUUUUGGACAAUGGGCGCAAGCCUGAUCCAGCCAUUCCGCGUGAGUGAAGAAGGCCUUCGGGUUGUAAAGCUCUUUCGCAAGGGAAGAAAACUUAGCCACUAACAUUGGCUGAGGUUGACGGUACCUUGAUAAGAAGCACCGGCUAACUACGUGCCAGCAGCCGCGGUAAUACGUAGGGUGCGAGCGUUAAUCGGAAUUACUGGGCGUAAAGCGUGCGCAGGCGGUUUUGUAAGUCAGAUGUGAAAUCCCCGAGCUCAACUUGGGAACUGCGUUUGAAACUACAAGACUAGAAUAUGUCAGAGGGGGGUAGAAUUCCACGUGUAGCAGUGAAAUGCGUAGAGAUGUGGAGGAAUACCAAUGGCGAAGGCAGCCCCCUGGGAUAAUAUUGACGCUCAUGCACGAAAGCGUGGGGAGCAAACAGGAUUAGAUACCCCGGUAGC
RNAcentral lists this ribosomal RNA (463 nucleotides) under uncultured bacterium. Its description in RNAcentral is "bacterial SSU rRNA". It matches the Rfam family "Bacterial small subunit ribosomal RNA", at positions 339 to 794 of the family's 1533-position model. The record is from RNAcentral.